UACAAUAUUUAGACUCUUCGUCUUAUUUGAAAUUUUUUUACGAUUAAUACUUUUACUCUUACUAAAUGAUAAAAUAUAAAUAGUACUUUAUGGGUGACUAAUUUUCUUAAACUUAAGUUUUUUACAAAUUUUUUAAAUAAGACGAAUAGUCAAACAUUGUACACGGAAA
This 169-nucleotide microRNA precursor is filed under the name Oryza brachyantha (malo sina). RNAcentral's name for it is "MIR812 microRNA precursor family". It matches the Rfam family "MIR812 microRNA precursor family", at positions 27 to 187 of the family's 205-position model. Lineage: Eukaryota; Viridiplantae; Streptophyta; Magnoliopsida; Poales; Poaceae. The record is from Rfam by way of RNAcentral.